UACGGGGGGGGCAAGCGUUGUUCGGAAUUACUGGGCGUAAAGGGCUCGUAGGCGGCCGUUUUAGUCCGACGUGAAAUCCCACGGCUCAACCGUGGAACUGCGUCGGAUACUGAAUGGCUUGAAUCCAAGAGAGGGAUGCGGAAUUCCAGGUGUAGCGGUGAAAUGCGUAGAUAUCUGGAGGAACACCGGUGGCGAAGGCGGCAUCCUGGAUUGGUAUUGACGCUGAGGAGCGAAAGCCAGGGGAGCAAACGGG
Molecule: ribosomal RNA, 253 nt
Filed under: uncultured bacterium
Lineage: Bacteria
Also listed under: 1 other name
Description: partial 16S ribosomal RNA
Rfam family: Bacterial small subunit ribosomal RNA
Source: RNAcentral